Helianthus annuus (common sunflower) is the source of this 3616-nucleotide long non-coding RNA. RefSeq lists it as uncharacterized. The transcript has 10 exons. Lineage: Eukaryota; Viridiplantae; Streptophyta; Magnoliopsida; Asterales; Asteraceae. The record is from RefSeq and is a predicted model, not a curated record.
AUAAAAUAUGUAUGUAGGCAUAGAAAUCCAUUCUUUAAAAAGGAGUCAGAGAACACAGCUACCAAAGCAAAAAGAAAGAGUGGUUAAAAGUGAACCAUCAAAGCACAAUUAAAACUUUGCCGCCCAAAAUGACGUUGUCCUUCCAUCUUCAUCUGAUUUCUUGCACACAUACAAAUCAACCACACAACUGGUUUCGACCAUCUCUAUCUCUCGACACCCCUACAACCCACCUUCACUUCCAUGGUUAAACACCACGAUGUAGUUCGCCACCCGCAAUCAGUAUCGGACACCUUCACAACACCGUAACACCUUUCGUUAAGCCUUGCACCCCGCCGGAGAAGGACCGCAACACCUCGGAGUAAUCGAGGUGCCUUCGAAGAAUAACAAGCCUUCCCGGAACGUGAAGACGACACUGAAGACUUUCGGAGCUUACGACGGAACUCAACCCGUCACCGUCUUGCCGCCGGAACUCGAAGACGUCACGGAGCACGAGUCGGAGACGACCGAGGUUCACAACGGGAAUCAUCUCGUCAUCUCAUCGCCGAAGCUGUUCGAAUCACGUUGAAGCUUACUGUUCGGUAUACAUCUCCCAACGAUAUCUUUUCCUGUGUUCAUUCGUUUUGGCAUUUAAAUUAUAGCAUCAUGCCUUGUUAUAUUUAUAAUUUUCUUUAAACAUUCUUUGAUGCUUUAUUAUUUUGGUGAAGCAUGUAUUGGUGGCUGGCCCUUUUAAUUCCUUGACCAAUAAGUCGUUGAUGUUUCAUUCAUCUAUAAACAUCUAGAACUAAACAAAAAAACAUAAUAAAAGAAACAAUAACAGUGUUUGUGCGGUUUAUUUGUAAUGAAGAAGAAGGCUAAAUAAUCUAAUCUAAUCUAUAUAUAUAUAUAAAUGAGAUGGAUUUGGGCUAUGUGUCCUUUGUCUUUGGCCAUCUAGGCUGAUGUGGCAAUUUGGUUUAGGAGGGAAAUCCCAAUUUGCUUUGUACAAUCACGAUUCCAAAGAAAAAAGGCGGGAUCCGAAUUGAGUUGGGUCGGGUUUUUCGAAUUCGGGUCAUAGUAUAUAUUUCCUUUUUUUUCUCAUUCUUCUUGCACACACUUUACAAACCCUAAAAAACUAAGUUGCAUCCUCUCUCCUAUCACCACCACCAAGAUCCUCAAUUCUAAACCAUAGCCAAAUCUCUGCAACAUCAUCUUCUUCACACAAAUCAAUCCUAUUAACCAAUCAAAGAUCUGAUCAUAAAAAUUGAAGGUAUGUUGUUUUAAUUUGUUGUUUAUCUAUUGUGUAUCUUUAAUCUAGCGAUUGAACAUUUAUCUUUCUGUUUUUUUUUUUUUUUUUUUUGCAAACAAAAUCAAGAUCAGAGGUUUUAUUAUCAUCAUCUACAUAUAUCAAUGUUACUGAUUUUUGUUGAUUUUGUUUUUCAUGUGGAACCCUAAAUCUUGGAUAAAAUCGGACUCCGAUCAUUCGUGAAACAACAGAGGUGAAGACCUUCUUUCAGACUCCUUCCCCUACAAGGAACUAUUGAAUGGGUUCCUAUGAGAAGUUGAAGAAAAGUUAUGGAUAAUGAAAACAAUGCUCCUUCGUUAUUAAAGUCGAUUGAGGACUAUGAUCCUAUAUUUUUCGAAUUGUUCGUCGACCAAAAACAGUUAUGGAUCAUGAAAACAACGCUCCUUCGUUGUUAAAGUUGAUUGAGAACUAUGAUCCUAUAUUUUUGGAAAUACCAUAUGAUUUUGCAACCUUAUUGUGGGGAGAACAACUUCCAUAUGUCAAUGUCUUAAAAUUAGUGAUGAUGAUUUAUCGUGAGUCAUUGAGUUAUAAUUUUUGUAUUUAGUUAGUUGUUAAUUCUUUAAAGAUGCCUUUGAUUUCAAUUUUAAAGUUGUUUUUGUUUCUAUAAACAGAUUACUGUUGUUAAAGGUUAUUUUUGUAUUUGGAAUUAUGAUUCGGUUUCUGUAAAUAGACUUUGUUUCUAUAAAUAUAUUACCAUUAUAUAUUUUUUAAAACAAUGGUUACUUCCUUUGCAGUUAUGGAUCCUAAAAACAACUCUCAUUCGUUGUUAAAGUUGAUUGAGGAAUAUGAUCCUAUAUUUUUGGUGUUUAUUUUGGAUGGUCCGGAGUUUUUGGCUGCAACUAUGUUGGACAGAGAUAUGCUUGCUAUUGCUGUAAAUUGGUACCAUGUCGGUUGGUUUUGCUUGGUAAGAUUUGUGACGAUGCGUCGGACAAACAACAUUGGGAAAAUAUACAGCCUUGAGCCUUGAUGACCAAUGUAUAUCUCUAUUUGAGGAAUUCUCCAAAGAUCCAGAGCCGAUUGUUUCAUAGAGCUGUGAAGUUGCGUUAAACAUACUGGAUUUUGAAUGAUCCGACAAACCAUUCGAGGUACUUUGAAGAUUAAGUCUCUUAUCUGGGUGGUUGUUACAGGUUUAGGAUGUUAAAUGAUUUUGGAUGUACUCUGCGAUGUCGAUGAUGCAGAGAUGUUGGUGAAGCUCAGGUUAACAACUUCAUGUGUAUAUUUUAAUGAAUAAAGUUUUUGUUGUUUAUAUUUUCUAAUUUAAACUUUUAAUUAACUUCUAAAUUUAAUUAAAUGAGUUUGUUUUGCAGGUUCGAACAACUUCAUGUGUAUAUUUUAUUAUAAAAAAGAAAAGUUUUUUUUUUGUUUCAUGGGUCGUUCAGAGAGGCAAGUUUCUGCCUCCGGUUCUUGCCCGAAGUUUCUGACCUUACUCGCAACCCAUUGACUAAACUUUCAAUUCAAAACAAUUAUAAAAAAAUUACGUUUGAAAACAUGUAUUUUUAUUUUAUUUAAUGACAUAACUCGAUUAAUAUAAAGUAAAUUUUUCUACCCGCGAAGUUCGCGGGUGAUAACCUAGUUUUCAUAUAAGACAAAAGCCACAACUUUAAAAUGGCUUGGUUGCUGGUUAUUCAAACAUAGAAGGUCUCGGGUUCGAUCCCCAGACUUACCUGGUUUUGGGGCGACCCUUUUUGAACUUUAAUUCAUUUUUUUAUGUUAUUUUCUUUUAUUUUUUCUCUGUUUUAAAACCAAAUGAUUAUUUUCCUUAAUUUUAAUUGCUUUUCUGUGAUAAUAUAGAUCAUGAUACAUACAAAACGAAUCCAUAGUAAUUAAAUCUUACUAACCUUUUUUUUCGUUCUUUUUCAUUAUAUUCUCAAACUUUAAAAAAAAAACCAACAAAUAAUCCCCUUUAUAUAUUUCCUUGCUAUCCUAUAAUAACUAAUUACCAAAUUAUUUUUAAACCCUUUUGUAAUACUAAAAGUUAUUAAGGGGAUAAAUUAUAAUUAGUCGAAUUGUAAAUCAUAAAUAUGAGGAAUACUAUCUAACUAAAAUAUUAGGAUUAUUUAUUUUACCAAUAAAUAAUAACAAGUUCGUUAUGUGUUACUUUAAAUAUCUAGGAUAACCAUUACGUUCGUUCUCUUGGAAUUCUCCAUCCUUACUCGUACGCAAUCAAUGUUGAUUAUUGAAGUAUGGAUGAUUGAUGAAACAAGUUUAGGGUGGACUAGAUACACACCUAAAUUUAUCUAUCUUUUUUUGUUAUGUUAUUUGUUGAAACAAUGUUGAUAUUUCCUUUUUGAAUUUGUAUGACAUUUAGUUUUGAAAUGAAAUUUGAAUUUAAUUAAA